GCUCAGGAUGAACGCUAGCUACAGGCUUAACACAUGCAAGUCGAGGGGUAGCAGGGUAGCAAUACCGCUGACGACCGGCGCACGGGUGAGUAACACGUAUCCAACCUUCCCAUAACUCGGGGAUAGCCUUUCGAAAGAAAGAUUAAUACCCGAUAGUACUUAUAUAAGGCAUCCUAAAUAAGUUAAAGAUUUAUUGGUUAUGGAUGGGGAUGCGUUCCAUUAGAUAGUUGGUGAGGUAACGGCUCACCAAGUCUUCGAUGGAUAGGGGUUCUGAGAGGAAGGUCCCCCACAUUGGUACUGAGACACGGACCAAACUCCUACGGGAGGCAGCAGUGAGGAAUAUUGGUCAAUGGGCGAGAGCCUGAACCAGCC
RNAcentral lists this ribosomal RNA (372 nucleotides) under uncultured Bacteroidales bacterium. RNAcentral describes it as "bacterial SSU rRNA". It matches the Rfam family "Bacterial small subunit ribosomal RNA", at positions 22 to 393 of the family's 1533-position model. The record is from RNAcentral. Lineage: Bacteria; Pseudomonadati; Bacteroidota; Bacteroidia; Bacteroidales.